Molecule: unclassified non-coding RNA, 229 nt
Filed under: uncultured fungus
Lineage: Eukaryota; Fungi
Description: sequence contains ITS1, 5.8S rRNA gene
Rfam family: 5.8S ribosomal RNA (bases 182-229)
Source: RNAcentral
UCUCCGUAGGUGAACCUGCGGAGGGAUCAUUACUGAGUGAGGGUCUCCGGGCCCGACCUCCAACCCUUUUGUGAACCACCUCGUUGCUUCGGGGGCGACCCUGCCGUUCGCGGCGUGGGGCCCCCGGAGCCCAUCAAACCCUGCGUAACUAAGUCGUCGGAGUCAUAAGUCAAUUGAACAAAACUUUCAACAACGGAUCUCUUGGUUCUGGCAUCGAUGAAGACGCAGC